UCUCAACAAUGCUAAUAUAAUUGGAUCACAUAACAAUCCCUCAACUUGCGAUGAGGAAUCACUCCGAAGUUCCUAUAUAGCGGAGAACAUAAGAAGAAAUUGUUUGUAGGGUAUGAUACCACCUCAAAGUUAUUCUUUCCGAUCAACCCUUCCAAGAGAUCAUACUAAGAUAAUGUCAGGGCCAACUUUUCUGGGAUUUUAAGUUCCCAUCAAAAUGAUCCUUGUGCAUACCAGCCCCAGGAAUACCGUUAGCUGGUACACAAAUUCUUAGUAGUUAUCUCCAAGCAAAUUAUAGAUUUGAAGUACAAGACCAAGAUGGCCUAUGGAGUACAUCAAAAAGGUUUCUACUGUUUGAUGGCGAAAGCAAUUCGGGAUAUCAGCGUCUAUGGGACUCCAUUUCCCACAAGAACAGCUCACCUGGAUAAUUCCUAUGUCACAUGGCUGCUAUCUCUGGGCCUAAGUUCCGGGGUACCGUCGGGAUGCUCCUCUCCAAAUACGCAAUCUAGCCAAGACAAUAGCGAGGAAAAAGCUAGUGAGUACUUUGAAUGUACUCGCAAACAUCAUGAAAUCAUACAUAAAAUAGCUGGUGAUUAAUAUGCACUUGAAACAAUUCAACCAUAUCACCACAUGAAAUAUCACUUGUUCCAACAUAAAGGUAAUCCCUGUGUCACAACAAUUCACACACAACCAUAAUAUAUCCAAGUUCAAGAUCCUUGCCUUCCAAGCCAAGAGAGGUAGGGUGCACUCCAAAACUUUUGGAAGAUUUUACUCCUCUCUCCAUAUCCUAUUUUUGAAAAUAUUCUAAUUAAUACAUAAUUUAAAAACAGUAUAAAAAGUUGUCUUAGAAAAUUUUCGAAUAAAUACUUAAAUAAUCUAUAUUAAAUUUGAAAAAGGUGAGAAAAGAAUCAACUCAUUUAGAGUUUCAUUUUAGAAAUUAGGGCAGUCAAAGUUUGGUCAAACUUUUGUUUUUAAUUAAAUCAUAAAAGAAAUCGAUUUGAUAAUAAUAUGCUUUCAAAAAAUGAACAAGCACUUACAACAGUGCGUUUCCUCAAGGGGAAGACGCAUCGGUGAGACUGCGCCACUAGGGCAACGGUUGGCUUACCGACAGGUGGGGGCCACCUGUCGGGUUCAUCUCCUUCCUCCGCGCGCCUGGACAAAGAGCAGUGCGAGUCCGGUGACGAUUGUCGGUGCCACGAGGCGCCAUUCUUGAAGCCCGGCCAAUCCAUGUGCUCAGAGGGACGACCCACACCGCACGGGAAAGAAAGGAGCGUCUGGGAGCUCUAGGUUGAGCAGAGCCUCCCUAAUGGCGGUUUGAGCUUCGGCCAUGGAGGGGGCUUUGCUCACUUCGGCUCCCAGGCCAAAUUGGAGGGGGAAAUGGGUUCAUGGGGCCAUCAUGGGGCUAAUGGUGAAUAAGAGAGGCAAGGAUGGGCUCUAGCUUGCUCGAAUUUAAUCGAGGACGACGGUGGCCGAAACUGCGUGCGGUGGGGAAGGAGGCAGCCCCGGGCGAAAUUGGGGCAAGGGGAAGCUACCUUAGGCUAUGUAGGGGAGGGUGUGGUGGCUAGAGUGCUUGGGGGAGCUCUUUUAUAGUGCGCCGAGGUCGAUUCCUCGACGGUAAUGGAUAAGCUUGGC
Molecule: long non-coding RNA, 1629 nt
Filed under: Hordeum vulgare
Lineage: Eukaryota; Viridiplantae; Streptophyta; Magnoliopsida; Poales; Poaceae
Description: long non-coding RNA (HVUL_LNC012041)
Source: RNAcentral